GAUAGUACCAAUCCUACAACGGUCAUAUUGGGUGAAAACCAUUCCCUUUAAUUCCUCAUUCUGUCCCAUUCCAUUACCAUUGCUUGACCUUUGUUCCUCACAUAUUCUCUCGGUGUCGUCUUCAUUUUGUUCCCCACUCCAGCCAGCUGGUUUGUAAUGGCUCCGAUCAACUAUAUUGGAAUCCCUUUUUUCAAUGGUCCAGAUAUUAUGCAAUCCUUUCUGAUAGGUAACCAUUUUGAUGAGUGGGAAGCCAUAGAAGAUGGUCCCUUUGUGCCCACUUACAUUGUUGAUGGUAUUACUAAAUAAAAACCUAAAUCUGAAUGGACGAAUGAUGAUAAGAAAAUGGUUAGUGUCGAAAGGAGGGCUAAAGCCCUCCUAAUUCGUGCCUUAAGUUAUGAUCAACCUCGUCAUGUCUUCGAGAUAUCCAUGAGGGAACUGGUGAAGCUAAGAUGCAAACGAUCAAUUCACUAACUAUUGAAUAUGAAACCUGGUGAGAACAUAGACGAUAUGCAAAUGCGGUUUUAUGAUCUUGUUAACCAUCUUGCUUCAUUGGGGAAAAGGAUUCCUAAUGUAGGUAGACUUGGUCUACAAAGUUUUGAGAAGUUUGAGUAGGAAAUGGCAGCACAAGGUCAGAACUAUAAUGACAUCAAGAGAUCUCACAACUAUGCCCUUGCGUCACUUGUUCAUAGAGCUUGAAGAAUAUGAGGUUGAGUUAAAUAGAUUGGACAAGAAUGAAGAAAGACAUAUGAAGAAGAAGAAGAAGAAGAAGAAGAAGAAGAAGAAGAAGAAGAAGAAGAAGAAGAAGAAAGAUAGUGGCAGUGCAGUGGCGUCGUCAAGAAAGGAUGAUGAAGAAGUUGACAGUGAUGAAGAAGAAGAGAUGAACUUGGUUAUCAAAGAUCUUUUCAAGCUUCUAAAGAAAAACAAGAAGUCCUUCAAGCAAGGAGAGAAGGAGCGCCGGAAGAGAGGAUCCUCUUCUACACGUGCAACGCCCUGAUUCAAAAACUACUCUUUGAUGAUCUCUUCUUGGAAUUAAAUAAUUGAUCGAGUUAUGAUGGUGCUCUGACCUUGACAAGAUCAUAUUGAAGACUUUGGUAAUUGUUUUUUAUUCUUUUAGAUUGGACAUGUUAUGGAAUCAAAUGCAGUGGAACAAGAAACCUUUGAUCACUACACAUGUAUUUAGAUUGAAUCAGUAUGCUUUAAUGGUGUUAGUGUUUAUCGUCAAAUUGCUAAAUGCUGAAAGCGUAAUGCUGAUAAAUAGUCACUUUCUAGUUAAAGCUAGGGAGACAUAAUCCCCUAUAGAAUUUAACUUGACCUUUUUUGUCUUCAAAUUUCAUUCUGAUUUUCUGCUCCUGUUCAAUGAUAUCAUUUCAAUUCAUUGGUUUUGUUCUUCAUAUGCAUUUAUUUAUCAAGUGUCAUUGUUGGCUCUGGAUGGAAGAUAACAGUUAAAAUGCAAGUAAGCUGCUAUUAAAGGCAUGUGAAAGUAUUAAAAUGUGAUGAUUGGAGCAGCAGAUCAAUCAUUUGAAUAUUUAAUAUACGUUUGAAAAGUGGUAUGAAAAGAGGAACUCAAAGAAAAGAGCACUACUUUUCUGUUGAUACAGAACUGGUUUAAAUGCUAUAUUUCAUUGCUAGUCUGCAGAGGAGGAUCCCUCAUCUUCAGUAUUUACGACUUCUCCUUUUCUUUUACAACUUAAAUUAGUUAUAUUAAAAUAGUGUAAAAGUGAAAUCAAAAUACUGAAAUGGAUCUUUCUAUUAGAAGAGAGUAAUAAAUUAAUUGGAGACAGAAAUAUGAUGGAAGAUUAGAACAUGAAUCUCUAUAUUCUGAAAGAAUGGAAACGGUUGGAAAUUAAGAAGUCCCACAUAGGCGGAUUAAGAAAAACUAAAGUGUUUUUAAGUGGUGGACUGGAGAGUAUGAGUCCAUUGGUUAGGACUUUUGGAUCAUAGGCCUCCACACUUAAGAACACUAACUAAUUUUCUUUACUAGUUCAAUGAUGUUACUUCAAUUCAUCGGUUUUGUUUUCAUAAGCAUUUAUCACUUUUCUCAUUGUGGACAUAACUAAGUACAAGCUUUGCAUGCCACAUUUCUAGUCUGUUAAAGACUUGUGAAAGUAUUAAAAUGCUAUUAAAGAUUUGUGAAAGUAAGCUGCUGCUAUUUAAUAUGUAUUUUUUUGGCUUAAGCAAUUGAAAAGUUGCUGCAACAUACAGAUUAUUACAGAUGAAAAGAGGAACUCAAAACAAAAGUCCACUACUUUUCUGUUAUUUACUUGUCCAUAGAAGAGGAUGCCUCAUCAUGAACAGGUGACCUCAGAGAUGAUGGAAUAGUUUCUCUAACAUCAUGGCUUAAGUUUGAAAACAAGAACACAAAUUUCUUUCAUCAAAGGACUUCCCAACAGAAGAAGAGAAAAUAGGUGGACUCUUUCAUGAUUUAAUGGCAAUGGUUUAGUAAUACAGUGCUCCAAUUAGCUUGGUAUUUGUCAUUUUACAUGGCAUUCAAGCUUAUUGCUUCCACAAAAACAAAGGACGGUGGCUUGGCUUGUUUUAAAGUGUUAAUUGAUUCAUGAAAUAUAUACUAAAGUAUUCUUUUUGACUUGCUUUGGAAGAUGAAAUCUAAAAUGAUACAGAGUAAUGAAAUCCAGAAGAGAGAGAUUAGCAUAUUUUUUUUAGAGGCAGUAGCGAAAUACAAAAAGAAACAGAAGCUUUGAUGCGUUAUUAUGUGCCUAUGACAGUUUCAGAGUUGCAGGUUGAAUGAAGAAUAUUUGUCUUCAUCAUAUUAAAUUACAUAUGUUAGGACUAAUUAAGGUAAUGAGGGGUAUUUGUUACAUAAGUUUUAAAUUUGAAGGGUGUAUUUGUCUAUUUUUAUAACCACG
Molecule: long non-coding RNA, 2864 nt
Organism: Medicago truncatula (barrel medic)
Lineage: Eukaryota; Viridiplantae; Streptophyta; Magnoliopsida; Fabales; Fabaceae
Exons: 3
Source: RefSeq, a predicted model, not a curated record